This 88-nucleotide transfer RNA is filed under the name Asparagus officinalis (garden asparagus). RNAcentral describes it as "tRNA A4U43_Tyr5". It matches the Rfam family "tRNA". Rfam says of the family: Transfer RNA (tRNA) molecules are approximately 80 nucleotides in length. The record is from Rfam by way of RNAcentral. Lineage: Eukaryota; Viridiplantae; Streptophyta; Magnoliopsida; Asparagales; Asparagaceae.
CCGACCUUAGCUCAGUUGGUAGAGCGGAGGACUGUAGUACGUUUGCAGAUAAAUCCUUAGGUCGCUGGUUCGAAUCCGGCAGGUCGGA